ACUCCUACGGGAGGCAGCAGUGGGGAAUCUUGGACAAUGGGCGCAAGCCUGAUCCAGCCAUGCCGCGUGAGUGAAGAAGGCCCUAGGGUCGUAAAACUCUUUCGCCAGGGAUGAUAAUGACAGUACCUGGUAAAGAAACCCCGGCUAACUCCGUGCCAGCAGCCGCGGUAAUACGGAGGGGUUAGCGUUGUUCGGAAUUACUGGGGCGUAAAGCGUACGUAGGCGGAUUAGUCAGUCAGAGGUGAAAUCCCAGGGCUCAACCCUGGAACUGCCUUUGAUACUGCUAGUCUUGAGUUCGAGAGAGGUGAGUGGAAUUCCAAGUGUAGAGGUGAAAUUCGUAGAUAUUUGGAGGAACACCAGUGGCGAAGGCGGCUCACUGGCUCGAUACUGACGCUGAGGUACGAAAGUGUGGGGAGCAAACAGGAUUAGAUACCCUGGUAGCGACUGA
RNAcentral lists this ribosomal RNA (448 nucleotides) under uncultured bacterium. Its description in RNAcentral is "bacterial SSU rRNA". It matches the Rfam family "Bacterial small subunit ribosomal RNA", at positions 335 to 799 of the family's 1533-position model. The record is from RNAcentral.